This 237-nucleotide ribosomal RNA is filed under the name uncultured bacterium. Its description in RNAcentral is "partial 16S ribosomal RNA". It matches the Rfam family "Bacterial small subunit ribosomal RNA", at positions 105 to 334 of the family's 1533-position model. The record is from RNAcentral.
CGGGGUAGGAGGUAACGCGUGAGGAACCUGCCUCAAAGAGGGGGACAACAGUUGGAAACGACUGCUAAUACCGCAUAAGCCCACGGCUCGGCAUCGAGCAGAGGGAAAAGGAGUGAUCCGCUUUGAGAUGGCCUCGCGUCCGAUUAGCUAGUUGGUGAGGUAACGGCCCACCAAGGCAACGAUCGGUAGCCGGACUGAGAGGUUGAACGGCCACAUUGGGACUGAGACACGGCCCAG